AACGUAGGAGGCGAGCGUUAUCCGGAGUUACUGGGCGUAAAGCGCGUGUAGGCGGUUGGUUAGGUCAGAUGUGAAAGCUCCCAGGCUAAACCGGGAGAGGACAUUUGAAACCGGCGAACUAGAGGAUAGCAGAGGGGUACGGAAUUCCGGGUGUAGUGGUGAAAUGCGUAGAGAUCCGGAGGAACACCAGUGGCGAAGGCGGUGCCCUGGGCUAAACCUGACGCUGAGACGCGAAAGCAUGGGGAGCGAA
This 250-nucleotide ribosomal RNA is filed under the name uncultured bacterium. RNAcentral's name for it is "partial 16S ribosomal RNA". It matches the Rfam family "Bacterial small subunit ribosomal RNA", at positions 524 to 772 of the family's 1533-position model. The record is from RNAcentral.